Molecule: unclassified non-coding RNA, 203 nt
Filed under: soil metagenome
Description: partial internal transcribed spacer 1
Source: RNAcentral
CCGAGUUUACAACUCCCAAACCCAAUGUGAACGUUACCAAACUGUUGCCUCGGCGGGAUCUCUGCCCCGGGUGCGUCGCAGCCCCGGACCAAGGCGCCCGCCGGAGGACCAACCAAAACUCUUAUUGUAUAACCCCCUCGCGGGUUUUUUUAUAAUCUGAGCCUUCUCGGCGCCUCUCGUAGGCGUUUCGAAAAUGAAUUCAA